AGCAGCCGCGGUAAUUCCAGCUCCAAUAGCGUAUAUUAAAGUUGCUGCAGUUAAAAAGCUCGUAGUUGAAUUUCGGGACCAUCAUGUCGGUCGUGCCUCGGUACGUACUGGCAUCGUCGGUUUCUCCCUUCUGACGAACCAUGAUGUCAUUUAUUUGGUGUUGUGGGGAAUCAGGACUGUUACUUUGAAAAAAUUAGAGUGUUUAAAGCAGGCUCACGCUUGAAUACAUUAGCAUGGAAUAAUGAAAUAGGACGUUUGAUUCUAUUUUGUUGGUUUCUAGGAUCGACGUAAUGAUUAAUAGGGAUAGUUGGGGGCAUUAGUAUUCAAUUGUCAGAGGUGAAAUUCUUGGAUUUAUUGAAGACUAACUACUGCGAAAGCAUUUGCCAAGGAUGUUUUCAUUAAUCAAGAACGAAAGUUAGGGGAUCGAAGACGAUCAGAUACCGUCGUAGUCUUAACCAUAAACUAUGCCGACUAGGGAUCGGAUGAUGUUAAUUUUUUAAUGACUCA
This 507-nucleotide ribosomal RNA is filed under the name uncultured fungus. RNAcentral describes it as "SSU rRNA". It matches the Rfam family "Eukaryotic small subunit ribosomal RNA", at positions 569 to 1078 of the family's 1831-position model. Lineage: Eukaryota; Fungi. The record is from RNAcentral.